UACGAAGGGGGCUAGCGUUGCUCGGAUUGACUGGGCGUAAAGGGCGCGUAGGCGGCACUGUUAGUCAGGCGUGAAAGUCCUGGGCUCAACCUGGGAACUGCGCUUGAUACGGCAGAGCUAGAGGAUGGAAGAGGGUCGCGGAAUUCCCAGUGUAGAGGUGAAAUUCGUAGAUAUUGGGAAGAACACCGGUGGCGAAGGCGGCGACCUGGUCCAUUACUGACGCUGAGGCGCGACAGCGUGGGGAGCAAACAGG
RNAcentral lists this ribosomal RNA (253 nucleotides) under uncultured bacterium. RNAcentral describes it as "partial 16S ribosomal RNA". It matches the Rfam family "Bacterial small subunit ribosomal RNA", at positions 524 to 776 of the family's 1533-position model. The record is from RNAcentral.